GAUGAACGCUGGCGGCGUGCCUAAUACAUGCAAGUCGAGCGAACGGACGAGAAGCUUGCUUUUCUGAUGUUAGCGGCGGACGGGUGAGUAACACGUGGAUAACCUACCUAUAAGACUGGGAUAACUUCGGGAAACCGGAGCUAAUACCGGAUAAUAUUUUGAACCGCAUGGUUCAAAAGUGAAAGACGGUCUUGCUGUCACUUAUAGAUGGAUCCGCGCUGCAUUAGCUAGUUGGUAAGGUAACGGCUUACCAAGGCAACGAUGCAUAGCCGACCUGAGAGGGUGGUCGGCCACACUGGAACUGAGACACCGUCCAGACUCCUACGGGAGGCAGCAGUAGGGAAUCUUCCGCAAAGGGCGAAAGCCUGACGGAGCAACGCCGCGUGAGUGAUGAAGGUCUUCGGAUCGUAAAACUCUGUUAUUAGGGAAGAACAUAUGUGUAAGUAACUGUGCACAUCUUGACGGUACCUAAUCAGAAAGCCACGGCUAACUACGUG
This 497-nucleotide ribosomal RNA is filed under the name uncultured bacterium. Its description in RNAcentral is "partial 16S ribosomal RNA". It matches the Rfam family "Bacterial small subunit ribosomal RNA", at positions 28 to 507 of the family's 1533-position model. The record is from RNAcentral.